Molecule: ribosomal RNA, 499 nt
Filed under: uncultured bacterium
Lineage: Bacteria
Description: partial 16S ribosomal RNA
Rfam family: Bacterial small subunit ribosomal RNA
Source: RNAcentral
AUUGAACGCUGGCGGCAGGCUUAACACAUGCAAGUCGAGCGGGGUGAUGGUGCCUGCACUAUCACUUAGCGGCGGACGGGUGAGUAAUGCCUAGGAAUCUGCCUGGUAGUGGGGGACAACGUUUCGAAAGGAACGCUAAUACCGCAUACGUCCUACGGGAGAAAGCAGGGGACCUUCGGGCCUUGCGCUAUCAGAUGAGCCCAGGUCGGAUUAGCUAGUUGGUGGGGUAAUGGCUCACCAAGGCGACGAUCCGUAACUGGUCUGAGAGGAUAAUCAGUCACACUGGAACUGAGACACGGUCCAGACUCCUACGGGAGGCAGCAGUGGGGAAUAUUGGACAAUGGGCGAAAGCCUGAUCAGCCAUGCCGCGUGUGUGAAGAAGGUCUUCGGAUUGUAAAGCACUUUAAGUUGGGAGGAAGGGCAGUAAGUUAAUACCUUGCUGUUUUGACGUUACCGACAGAAUAAGCACCGGCUAACUCUGUGCCAGCCGCCGCCGUAA